AACUGGCGACCCAUUUGGAGGUGCUGGGCGCCAAUGAAUGCCAAGUUCUUUCUAUGGCUAGUUUCCCUGGACUGCUGCUGGUCUGCAGAACGAAGAGCGCGUCACGGUCUGCCUCAAGAUUCCCAUUGCAAGUUGUGUGACCAAGAGUUCGAGACCAUGGAUCACUUGCUUGUUCAAUGCGCCUUCUCGAGGGUCACUUGGCACGAGAUCCUAUCCUGGUGUCGCCUCCCGGUGCCCCUGCCCGAUGCCAACUCAUCCUUCUUCACGUGGUGGUCCGCCUUGUUGGCUGCUUCUCCGGCUUGUCAGAUUUUGGGUUCCGACAGACCCUUGAGGUUCGAACACUGGGGUGCACGCGGAGAUUUCGCCUCCUACCUAGCUGCACCCCUCCGCCUUGCUAGGAUCUAA
This 405-nucleotide ribosomal RNA is filed under the name Triticum aestivum (bread wheat). RNAcentral's name for it is "partial small subunit ribosomal RNA". Lineage: Eukaryota; Viridiplantae; Streptophyta; Magnoliopsida; Poales; Poaceae. The record is from RNAcentral.